This 505-nucleotide ribosomal RNA is filed under the name uncultured bacterium. Its description in RNAcentral is "bacterial SSU rRNA". It matches the Rfam family "Bacterial small subunit ribosomal RNA", at positions 36 to 507 of the family's 1533-position model. The record is from RNAcentral.
CUGGCGGCGUGCUUAACACAUGCAAGUCGAACGGGAGGGAAAGAGAAGCUUGCUUCUUUUUGAAUCUAGUGGCAAACGGGUGAGUAACACGUAAACAACCUGCCUUCAGGAUGGGGACAACAGACGGAAACGACUGCUAAUACCGAAUGUGUUCCGGAGACCGCAUGAUUUCCGGAAGAAAGGAUGGCCUCUAUUUAUAAGCUAUCGCCUGAAGAGGGGUUUGCGUCUGAUUAGGCAGUUGGUGAGGUAACGGCCCACCAAACCUACGAUCAGUAGCCGGUCUGAGAGGAUGAACGGCCACACUGGAACUGAGACACGGUCCAGACUCCUACGGGAGGCAGCAGUGGGGAAUCUUCCGCAAUGGACGAAAGUCUGACGGAGCAACGCCGCGUGAGUGAUGACGGCCUUCGGGUUGUAAAGCUCUGUGAUCGGGGACGAAUGGCUGGUAUGCUAAUACCAUAUCAGAGUGACGGUACCCGAAUAGCAAGCCACGGCUAACUACGUG